Molecule: ribosomal RNA, 495 nt
Filed under: uncultured bacterium
Lineage: Bacteria
Description: bacterial SSU rRNA
Rfam family: Bacterial small subunit ribosomal RNA
Source: RNAcentral
AGUGAACGCUGGCGGCAGGCCUAAUACAUGCAAGUCGAACGGCAGCACAGCAGAGCUUGCUCUGUGGGUGGCGAGUGGCGGACGGGUGAGGAAUACAUGGGAAUCUGCCCAGUCGUGGGGGAUAACGUAGGGAAACUUACGCUAAUACCGCAUGCGCCCUUCGGGGGAAAGCCGGGGACCUUCGGGCCUGGCGCGAUUGGAUGAGCCCAUGUCGGAUUAGCUAGUUGGCGGGGUAAUGGCCCACCAAGGCGACGAUCCGUAGCUGGUCUGAGAGGAUGAUCAGCCACACUGGAACUGAGACACGGUCCAGACUCCUACGGGAGGCAGCAGUAGGGAAUAUUGGACAAUGGGCGCAAGCCUGAUCCAGCCAUGCCGCGUGAGUGAAGAAGGCCCUCGGGUUGUAAAGCUCUGUUGUAAGGGACGAAGGAUUGGGGUAGUAACUGACCCCAAGGUGACGGUACCUUACGAGGAAGCCCCGGCUAACUACGUGCCAGC